CCUACGGGGGGCAGCAGUGGGGAAUAUUGCGCAAUGGGCGAAAGCCUGACGCAGCGACGCCGCGUGAGGGAUGAAGGUCUUCUGAUCGUAAACCUCUGUCAGCAGGGAAGAACGGUCACUGUGCUAAUCAGCAGUGAAUUGACGGCACCUGUAAAGAAAGCACCGGUUAACUCCGUGCCAGCAGCCGCGGUAAUACGGAGGGUGCGAGCGUUAAUCGGAAUUACUGGGCGUAAAGCGCUCGUAGGCGGUAUGUCAAGUCAAGGGUGAAAUGCCCGCGCUCAACGUGGGAACUGCAUUGGAAACUGGGGGACUGGAGUGUGUGAGAGGAUAGAGGAAUUCGGGGUGUAGGGGUGA
RNAcentral lists this ribosomal RNA (354 nucleotides) under uncultured bacterium. RNAcentral describes it as "partial 16S ribosomal RNA". It matches the Rfam family "Bacterial small subunit ribosomal RNA", at positions 338 to 684 of the family's 1533-position model. The record is from RNAcentral.